GAUGAACGCUGACAGAAUGCUUAACACAUGCAAGUCAACUUGAACUUCGGUUUGGGUGGCGGACGGGUGAGUAACGCGUAAAGAACUUGCCUCACAGCUAGGGACAACAUUUGGAAACGAAUGCUAAUACCUGAUAUUAUGAUUUUAGGGCAUCCUAGAAUUAUGAAAGCUAUAUGCGCUGUGAGAGAGCUUUGCGUCCCAUUAGCUAGUUGGAGAGGUAACGGCUCACCAAGGCGAUGAUGGGUAGCCGGCCUGAGAGGGUGAACGGCCACAAGGGGACUGAGACACGGCCCUUACUCCUACGGGAGGCAGCAGUGGGGAAUAUUGGACAAUGGACCAAGAGUCUGAUCCAACAAUUCUGUGUGCACGAUGAAGUUUUUCGGAAUGUAAAGUGCUUUCAGUUGGGAAGAAAAAAAUGACGGUACCAACAGAAGAAGUGACGGCUAAAUACGUG
This 454-nucleotide ribosomal RNA is filed under the name uncultured bacterium. RNAcentral describes it as "partial 16S ribosomal RNA". It matches the Rfam family "Bacterial small subunit ribosomal RNA", at positions 28 to 507 of the family's 1533-position model. The record is from RNAcentral.